This 253-nucleotide ribosomal RNA is filed under the name uncultured bacterium. RNAcentral's name for it is "partial 16S ribosomal RNA". It matches the Rfam family "Bacterial small subunit ribosomal RNA", at positions 524 to 776 of the family's 1533-position model. The record is from RNAcentral.
UACGUAGGCAGCAAGCGUUGUUCGGAGUUACUGGGCGUAAAGAGUAUGUAGGCGGGUGCGUAAGGUCGGUGUGAAAUCUCCCGGCUUAACUGGGAGGGUGCGCCGAAAACUGCGUGGCUUGAGUGCGGGAGAGGAGAGCGGAAUUCCUGGUGUAGCGGUGAAAUGCGUAGAUAUCUGGAGGAACACCGGUGGCGAAGGCGGCAUCCUGGACCGGUAUUGACGCUGAGGCGCGAAAGCCAGGGGAGCAAACGGG